RNAcentral lists this ribosomal RNA (267 nucleotides) under uncultured bacterium. Its description in RNAcentral is "partial 16S ribosomal RNA". It matches the Rfam family "Bacterial small subunit ribosomal RNA", at positions 87 to 353 of the family's 1533-position model. The record is from RNAcentral.
GCUGGCGACCGGCGCACGGGUGAGUAACACGUAUCCAACCUGCCGAUGACUCGGGGAUAGCCUUUCGAAAGAAAGAUUAAUACCCGAUGGCAUAGUUCUUCCGCAUGGUGGAACUAUUAAAGAAUUUCGGUCAUCGAUGGGGAUGCGUUCCAUUAGGUUGUUGGUGGGGUAACGGCCCACCAAGCCUUCGAUGGAUAGGGGUUCUGAGAGGAAGGUCCCCCACAUUGGAACUGAGACACGGUCCAGACUCCUACGGGAGGCAGCAUG